Molecule: long non-coding RNA, 1794 nt
Organism: Oncorhynchus tshawytscha (Chinook salmon)
Lineage: Eukaryota; Metazoa; Chordata; Actinopteri; Salmoniformes; Salmonidae
Source: Ensembl
UCAAGAUGCGUGCCUGCCUUUUUCUGUUGUGGAGUACUCUCUCAGCUACUUGGACAAACCAAAUAAUUGUGACCCAGACACCUGGUGUGGUGAAGAUGAUAGCCAGUGGCACGGUGACUUUGAAGUGCCACGUUGAUCAGAUUCUCGCCUUUUGCCACUCAGUGACUUGGAUGAAAGUAGACGCCAGGACUGGAACAAUGAGCACAAGAACUAACGUAAAGAUUAAUACGACAUCUGAGGUAGGGAAACGGGACAGAGUAUGUUCGGCAACCAUCACCAACGCAUUAGUGAGCGACUCUGGCAUGUACUACUGUUUGGCUGUUCACUCCAAGGCGGUCCACACUGGCAACGGAUCCAAUCUAAUCGUCACAGAGAGCAGCACUGAAUCCCCAAACAUCAAAAUCGUCUCAUCAGACAGCGACGGCUCCUCCGCCGCUCUGCUGUGUUUGGUGUCUGGAGUGGUCCCGUCUCAAGUCCAUGUGUUCUGGCUCAUAGACGGGAGAGAGGACAGUGGACUUACUGAGUCCACCUGGACAGACAACAGUGAUUCAGCCACAGAGUUCACUAGGAACCAGAUUCUGGUCAAAGCAGAGGAGUGGGACAGAGGAGCAGAAUGCACGUGUGUGGUAGAGUUCGAAGGGCAGUACAUCAACAAAACCGUGCAACACAAUGAUUUCUCCACAAUGUGUUACACCAUAGUGAGUCUCUACAGGGUUCUGGGAAUUGUGUCCGCUCUUCUUCUUCUCCUUACACUGAUUGCACGGGUACAGCUAUCCUGCAGGAGCAACAAUUCAGGCAAGCGUAAGAAAAGCAACAGAAACCCCCCAAACUAAAGAAAAGGAGAGCUUUGGGAUUCUGUCUUCAUUGUGAAAACUUCAGGAAACCAACAUUCAGAAUUUGAGGGCUUUGAGUGAAUCAGAGGGCUUCAUACCAACUAGGAAGACGUUAAGUAUGUAGUACGUUUUCACUGGGUGUCGAAAGGCUAUAGAAUUUUUACGUGACUUCUUAUAAAAAAAAUCCUUUUCACUUUGCUUUUGAUUUCAUUACAUGAAAAUUGUCAGAUAAGCAAUAUGCAUAAAAAAUAAAAUGUGUUGGAAUAGCCCAAUUCUUCCAUAAAGUGAUAUCCUGAAAGUACUGUAGUGAUGAAAUGUUUUUUUUCCCUCAUCUUGUGUCACCAUCUCAAAACAUCCAGUAGAUAUCAGUGUUUACUCAAAAUCUACAACCUACCCUUCCUGUCACUUGUGCGUCCAUUGUAGUGACACUGAUUGAAUGAAGAAUAGCGCCGAAGGAGAUGGCUGCCAUUUUAUAAUCCCAUAACCAAUUGUGCUAUUGUGUAUACUUUUUUGAGCUAUUUGUAACUUUUUAAAAAGUAAGCAUUUCACUGUCAGGUAUUCGGCACAUGUGACAAAUUAAAUUUGAUUUGAGAUAGGCUGGAGCUUUUUUAAACUAUUCUAAAACAUCAGGUAGAAAACUGCAUUAACCAAGUUGUCUGCAUCAACAUUUAAACAAACUAGCCAUCAUUUUUUUUUACUAAGUUUUUAUUUCUGUGAUGGGUCUACAUUGCCCCAUGCUGUAUCAUAGUGUAGAAGUGUUUAAUUGUGUUUUUAUUUUUUACAGUUGACUAAAAUCAGUGUAACCUUUUAUUUAACAAAAAGGACUACUGUACUUUGUAUUGAGAGUAUUAACAUUUCAUUACCUAAAUGGGAAUACUUUUGUUCAGUCUUGCCAUUACUUACUUGAUUUUACCAUGACUUAAUCUAAAUGCAUCAUUUUCAUUAAUUAGCCAGGGUGAUU